UGGGGAAUUUUGGACAAUGGGCGAAAGCCUGAUCCAGCAAUGCCGCGUGUGUGAAGAAGGCCUUCGGGUUGUAAAGCACUUUUGUCCGGAAAGAAAUCCUUGGCUCUAAUACAGUCGGGGGAUGACGGUACCGGAAGAAUAAGCACCGGCUAACUACGUGCCAGCAGCCGCGGUAAUACGUAGGGUGCAAGCGUUAAUCGGAAUUACUGGGCGUAAAGCGUGCGCAGGCGGUUUGCUAAGACCGAUGUGAAAUCCCCGGGCUCAACCUGGGAACUGCAUUGGUGACUGGCAGGCUAGAGUAUGGCAGAGGGGGGUAGAAUUCCACGUGUAGCAGUGAAAUGCGUAGAGAUGUGGAGGAAUACGAUGGCGAAGGCAGCCCCCUGGGCCAAUACUGACGCUCAUGCACGAAAGCGUGGGGAGCAAACAGGAUUAGAUACCCCUGGUAGUCCACGCCCUAAAACGAUGUCAACUAGUUGUUGGGGAUUCAUUUCCUUAGUAACGUAGCUAACGCGUGAAGUUGACCGCCUGGGGAGUACGGUCGCAAGAUUAAAA
This 552-nucleotide ribosomal RNA is filed under the name uncultured bacterium. RNAcentral describes it as "partial 16S ribosomal RNA". It matches the Rfam family "Bacterial small subunit ribosomal RNA", at positions 355 to 899 of the family's 1533-position model. The record is from RNAcentral.